This 705-nucleotide ribosomal RNA is filed under the name Shigella flexneri. RNAcentral's name for it is "bacterial SSU rRNA". It matches the Rfam family "Bacterial small subunit ribosomal RNA", at positions 799 to 1505 of the family's 1533-position model. The record is from RNAcentral. Lineage: Bacteria; Pseudomonadati; Pseudomonadota; Gammaproteobacteria; Enterobacterales; Enterobacteriaceae.
GCCCUAAGAAUGUCGACUUGGAGGUUGUGCCCUUGAGGCGUGGCUUCCGGAGCUAACGCGUUAAGUCGACCGCCUGGGGAGUACGGCCGCAAGGUUAAAACUCAAAUGAAUUGACGGGGGCCCGCACAAGCGGUGGAGCAUGUGGUUUAAUUCGAUGCAACGCGAAGAACCUUACCUGGUCUUGACACCCACGGAAGUUUUCAGAGAUGAGAAUGUGCCUUCGGGAACCGUGAGACAGGUGCUGCAUGGCUGUCGUCAGCUCGUGUUGUGAAAUGUUGGGUUAAGUCCCGCAACGAGCGCAACCCUUAUCCUUUGUUGCCAGCGGUCCGGCCGGGAACUCAAAGGAGACUGCCAGUGAUAAACUGGAGGAAGGUGGGGAUGACGUCAAGUCAUCAUGGCCCUUACGACCAGGGCUACACACGUGCUACAAUGGCACAUACAAAGAGAAGCGACCUCGCGAGAGCAAGCGGACCUCAUAAAGUGCGUCGUAGUCCGGAUUGGAGUCUGCAACUCGACUCCAUGAAGUCGGAAUCGCUAGUAAUCGUGGAUCAGAAUGCCACGGUGAAUACGUUCCCGGGCCUUGUACACACCGCCCGUCACACCACGGGAGUGGGUUGCAAAAGAAGUAGGUAGCUUAACCUUCGGGAGGGCGCUUACCACUUUGUGAUUCAUGACUGGGGUGAAGUCGUCAUCGAGUAUCCGAUU